AUGAGGAGAACCACUGCCGGGGCGCGCCCGGCCGCAUCCGAGGCGGGGCGAGGCGGGACGAGGCGAGGCGCGGCGCGGCGGGGCGGGCGCUGGCCGGGCGGCGCGUUGGCCGGCAGCCAUCUUGGCUCGGGCCCGCGCCCCGCCGUGCCGUUGGUGGCCUCGCCCAAAAUGGCGGCCGGGGCGUUAGCGCCGCUGCGGGUGGCGGCGCGGGUGUCCGCAGCGCGGCUGUUGUCACAGAGGGCCCGCUCGAGGGGCGGAGAGCCCCAGCGACGGAGAAUACCAGAAAGUGCUGGUACUAAAGUCCCAGGUGAUCCAGAAGUAAAUAGAGUUUUCCUGCUGGUUGCUUUAUACCUGACUGACCUUCUAAUCAAAACAAGAUUUAUACUGGUCAUGUGAAUUUUUAUCAGCGAGUGAAUGAAAGUGCAGUGUUUUUGCAGCUCGUGGAGUGUUUGUUGUCUAUUACAUGUAGUUAUAUUGAAUUUCAGAGUAUCCUGUUGUGGUGCAGUAACUUGUUUUGAUCGGCUACUUAUACUAUCAUCUGUUGGGAGACAGAAACAUCGUUUUCUCUCAGUUUCGUAUGCUUUAUUUCACAUUUUAUGAACCCUUACUUUGUAUUUUAUAUCUUUUGUUUCUUCUGAAAGUAAGACAGUCUUCAGAUUCCUUUUUUUUUUUCUUGAGUGGUUGUUUUGUCUUUACUGUUAUCUUUCUUUGAAUUUCUCUGUUGGAAGCAUCUGUUUUCUUAUGGGGGUAGUACAUCAGUAUUGUGGAAGCAAGUAAGGCUCUUUUAAAUAAACUGGCAUUUUUAUGUUUUAUUUCUUCUCA
Molecule: long non-coding RNA, 822 nt
Filed under: Anser brachyrhynchus (Pink-footed goose)
Lineage: Eukaryota; Metazoa; Chordata; Aves; Anseriformes; Anatidae
Description: lncRNA (ENSABRG00000005302.1)
Source: RNAcentral